RNAcentral lists this ribosomal RNA (392 nucleotides) under uncultured bacterium. Its description in RNAcentral is "partial 16S ribosomal RNA". It matches the Rfam family "Bacterial small subunit ribosomal RNA", at positions 523 to 918 of the family's 1533-position model. The record is from RNAcentral.
AUACGGAGGAUCCGAGCGUUAUCCGGAUUUAUUGGGUUUAAAGGGUGCGCAGGCGGCCAUUUAAGUCAGCGGUUAAAUCGUGGGGCUCAACCCCAUUCUGCCGUUGAUACUGGGUGGCUUGAUUGCGGUCGAGGUUGGCGGAAUUCGUUGUGUAGCGGUGAAAUGCAUAGAUAUGACGAAGAACACCGAUUGCGUAGGCAGCUGACCAGAUCGCAAAUGACGCUCAUGCACGAAAGUGCGGGGAUCGAACAGGAUUAGAUACCCUGGUAGUCCACGCCGUAAACGAUGGGCGCUCGUCGUCGGCGACAGACAGUCGGCGGCCAAGCGAAAGCGAUAAGCGCCCCACCUGGGGAGUACGGUCGCAAGGCUGAAACUCAAAUGAAUUGACGGGG